GACGAACGCUGGCGGCGUGCUUAACACAUGCAAGUCGAGCGGUAAGGCCCUUUCGGGGUACGACGAGCGGCGAACGGGUGAGUAACACGUGGGUGACCUGCCUUUAGCUCUGGGAUAAGCCUGGGAAACUGGGUCUAAUACCGGAUAUGACUCCAUGAUGCAUGUUGUGGGGUGGAAAGCCUUGUGCGGCUGGAGAUGGGCCCGCGGCCUAUCAGCUUGUUGGUGGGGUGANGGCCUACCAAGGCGACGACGGGUAGCCGGCCUGAGAGGGCGACCGGCCACACUGGGACUGAGACACGGCCCAGACUCCUACGGGAGGCAGCAGGUGGGGAAUCUUGCGCAAUGGGCGAAAGCCUGACGCAGCGACGCCGCGUGAGGGAUGAC
This 384-nucleotide ribosomal RNA is filed under the name uncultured bacterium. Its description in RNAcentral is "bacterial SSU rRNA". It matches the Rfam family "Bacterial small subunit ribosomal RNA", at positions 28 to 412 of the family's 1533-position model. The record is from RNAcentral.